UGUAUGGUUUGGUUUGAUUGAACCAAACUUGUUUCCCCCUUUGGUGCAGAUCUUUUAGGCAAGUGUGAAUACAGCAAUCACACUCGGGUAUGAACCAAACAACCGCACCGAGACCCAGCUGAAGAGGAAAGCCCUGCGCCUUUUUUGGUGGGCUCUCGUAGUUGGUGCAGAUUGUGUCUUUAAUUACACUGAUAACUACCUCAUAUGACAGACAAGCCUGUAGACAAAUGCACUGUGUACCCAGGCAGUAUUUUUAUUAUGUAACUAGUAUUGUGGCAGGUGUGUGACCAGAUCACAGACCAGACCAGUUGAACUGGACCCUGGAGUGUUUACCCCCUUGGUGUGGUUUGUUUGGGUUGGUGUGAAUGUUGAACUCAAACUCUAGAGGGGACCAAACAACCGCUCUCUGGUUCACCUUGAAUGGGUGGUCUUGGACUGCUGUCAAAUGAACUCUGGAGCAGUUAUUUUCUGCGGGAUGCCUCCUGAAUAUCUGGGCUGAAGAGAACGUUUCUCAAUUACUAGAGAAGCUUCUGAAGAGAGCUGAGAGUCAUGGUGGACAACACAUUGAGAGUCUGGCAGCUUCAGCAGUGACCAAAUGUUCACAGAGUGGGCUUUCUGAGCAGAGAGUCAACAGCUGUUUAUCUCAGAUCUACAAAACCAUGUGUCUGAAAUGCAGAUUAUGUUGGUAUAAAUAAAAUUAACAUUAUGUGGCUGAAGAGCACUAAUGCAGUUUGUUUUAUGUUUACUGUAAUCACAUUCAUUUUCCUGUAGUGUAACAAACUAUUUGCACAAGUAC
Micropterus dolomieu (smallmouth bass) is the source of this 796-nucleotide long non-coding RNA. RefSeq lists it as uncharacterized. The transcript is spliced from 3 exons. NCBI's taxonomy places the organism in Eukaryota, Metazoa, Chordata, Actinopteri, Centrarchiformes, Centrarchidae. The record is from RefSeq and is a predicted model, not a curated record.